Molecule: ribosomal RNA, 678 nt
Filed under: uncultured bacterium
Lineage: Bacteria
Description: bacterial SSU rRNA
Rfam family: Bacterial small subunit ribosomal RNA
Source: RNAcentral
GGAUGGGAUCAUGAGUUCACAUGUCCGCAUGAUUAAAGGUAUUUUCCGGUAGACGAUGGGGAUGCGUUCCAUUAGAUAGUAGGCGGGGUAACGGCCCACCUAGUCAACGAUGGAUAGGGGUUCUGAGAGGAAGGUCCCCCACAUUGGAACUGAGACACGGUCCAAACUCUUACGGGAGGCAGCAGUGAGGAAUAUUGGUCAAUGGGCGAUGCCCUGAACCAGCCAAGUAGCGUGAAGGAUGACUGCCCUAUGGGUUGUAAACUUCUUUUAUAAAGGAAUAAAGUCGGGUAUGCAUACCCGUUUGCAUGUACUUUAUGAAUAAGGAUCGGCUAACUCCGUGCCAGCAGCCGCGGUAAUACGGAGGAUCCGAGCGUUAUCCGGAUUUAUUGGGUUUAAAGGGAGCGUAGAUGGAUGUUUAAGUCAGUUGUGAAAGUUUGCGGCUCAACCGUAAAAUUGCAGUUGAUACUGGAUGUCUUGAGUGCAGUUGAGGCAGGCGGAAUUCGUGGUGUAGCGGUGAAAUGCUUAGAUAUCACGAAGAACUCCGAUUGCGAAGGCAGCCUGCUAAGCUGCAACUGACAUUGAGGCUCGAAAGUGUGGGUAUCAAACAGGAUUAGAUACCCUGGUAGUCCACACGGUAAACGAUGAAUACUCGCUGUUUGCGAUAUACGGCAAGCGGCC